GUCUAUGGCCAUACCACCCUGAACGUGACUGAUCUUGUCUGAUCUUGGAAGCUAAGCAGGCUUGGGCCUGGUUAGUACUUGGAUGGGAGAUACAGCUCAGGGGUAUGCUGUGGACA
This 116-nucleotide ribosomal RNA is filed under the name Microcebus murinus (gray mouse lemur). Lineage: Eukaryota; Metazoa; Chordata; Mammalia; Primates; Cheirogaleidae. The record is from RNAcentral.